GUUCAAGUCUUCCCAGGCCCACCACGCUUCGCCUUCGGCUUCGCGUGGCACGCCGUGCUCUGAAAUGAGCGAAGCGUGCCCGGCGAAGCCACUUGGCGAAGACGGGCGUUAUGCAUUCGUCUUCUGGUUACGGGGCCAUAGCUCAGCUGGGAGAGCGCGUGCUUUGCAAGCAUGAGGUCGUCGGUUCGAUCCCGUCUGGCUCCACCAGAUGGUUUGAUCACCGAGGUUGCUCGAAUCGUCGUCCGCGAAACAUCACUUCGCAUCCAUGUCGCAAUCGACGUGGGAUGCGGGUUAUUCGACAUCGUGAAGAGGAGAUCGAUCCGAGUUGGAUCGCGCAAUGGAGCGUCACCGAGCAAUCGGCGGCGGUCGGAAUUUGCGCGGAUCCUUCACUAUCUCCGGGUCAUUUCGGCGCGGGACUGAACGCUGUGAAGCGGGCUGUCCUGUUGUAAAUGACUCUGUUGGCGAGGCUUGACCGCGUCGCCAUCGGUUCGAUCUUACGAAGCAAGCUGGUCUUUCUAAUCAGUGUCCGGCCGUGAUGUCCGCGUCUUCGGGCGUGGUGCACGGCAUACAUUCUGCCGAGUGUGUGGACAUUGAUGAUGAGAGCAAUCAAGUGCCUUAAGGGUGUUCGGUGGAUGCCUUGGCGCUGAGAGGCGAUGAAGGAACGUGCUACGCUGCGAUAAGCCGUGGGG
RNAcentral lists this ribosomal RNA (689 nucleotides) under Bradyrhizobium sp. STM 3570. RNAcentral describes it as "partial 16S-23S ribosomal RNA intergenic spacer". The stretch from base 132 to 204 matches the Rfam family "tRNA". The record is from RNAcentral. Lineage: Bacteria; Pseudomonadati; Pseudomonadota; Alphaproteobacteria; Hyphomicrobiales; Nitrobacteraceae.